UGUGAGGGAGGUGCCAUGGACCCCGGGAUGAGCAAGCGUCCCCAGUGCUCACAGUGGGACACUUAGAGCCACAGGCUCAUCCCACAUGUGAAGUGUGUCAUGCUUCGGCUCAGUGCAGAUGAACUCUUGGAUGCCGGAGACACGUGUUAGGAGAGCCGCUGGGAAGAGAAGGUGGGGGGGUGAUUUGUUUUGCUGCAGUAGAACUUGCCGUAUUUCCAGAAGUUUCCAUCGAGGCCCAGCACCCUGCAGCAGACCCCUUGUGUCCAGGGGCAUUUCUGCAGUGUCUUCAGUCCUGGGAGUUGGGGAAGACGGGCUUCCUGUUUAUCUUUCAUCUCUGUCUCUCCUUCUGAGAAAGGAACGUCGGCUUCUGAGUGGUCUGCUAAGAACUGGGGCUGCAGCCUACCUGGAGGGAGAAAAGCAUUGAGGUUUCCGACCCGGAUUGUCUACUGAGACCAACUCUGCUCGGGAAGCCUGCCUCCUAUUGAUCCACUCCUCUCCAUGUCUUCAAUAUUUAAUAAUGCAUUUUGCUAUUUGGUGGAGUUUUCAGAAGCCCAAGCUGACAUCUCUUUGUGUACAAAUGUGCAUAUAUUUAAGGAUUAAUCUAGUGAUGCUUGCAGUCUCCUGCAUGUACUGCCUUGGGACUCUUCAGGGCACCUUGUGACAUGAAUGAAGGGAACCCUGAAUAAAAGACACCAUUGAUGUGGCCCUGGCUUCUGUCCCUUACAUGGAGAACACACCUUUUGUCCUCUCCUUGUGGGGUAAAGCAUAUCCCUCCUCACCUCAUUCUCACCAAGACUUUAAGUUCUUCGGCAACCUUCAACACAAAUAAAAACAAGGACUUCCUUUUAUUUCGAGCGUUCGUGCUGGACAAAGGGCGGAAGAACUCAGAGGGAACAAAUGCUCCCAGCUGAGGAGGUGAGGAGGCGUGAGAAGUCAAACCAGGAAGAAAAGCAGGGCUUGAGAAAGAAGAGGAGGAGUCCAGCGAUCGUGGAGGAGGGCCGGUUUAGCAGAGCCCUUUCAAGGCCUGAGCUGACCAGAAACAAAAGGCACUUGACACAUUUUAAAGAAAAAUAAAAUUAGUAAAUUAAACCAGCCUGUUUAUCGACCUCCAGUGAAUGUCAGGGUUUUCUACCCUUGGUCUCACAAGCAAACUCAGCGAUUGCCUUGGUUAAAACGAUGAAGAAAAAUGAAAAGAAUGGGAUGCAGUUAAGUUUCUCAGCUAAGGUAGACACGUAGCUAAAAUCAUUGCUGGAAAAGCAUUUGAUCAGGCUUUGAAAUGUUGUGUGUAGUGACUGACUAGCUGCAGAAAUGGGUAUUUUGAAGGACCAUCUGGAAAAGAUAGAAUUAAAAUUAAAAACGGAGAGGGGCUGGAGAGACGGCUUAACAGUUAGCAGUGCUUGUGGCGCUUCCAGCGGAACCAACGUCACCCCACCAUAUUCCCAUAUCCGGCCGCGGCGGCGGCUCUCAAUUGCCUGCAACUCCAGCUCCAGGGUAUCUACUACCUUCUUCAGGACUCCAGGAGCUCUUCACCUGCCCUCUUCCCCCAUUCUUAAAAAAAACCAAAAUGUGUUUUCAGCAGACCAAAGGGAGGAGAUGGUGUUAGUCUUUGCAGGGAUGAGAGUACAGGAGUCUGAACGGUUUUUAAUUUGCCAAGUUUUGAGCUGUGAGUUUUUCCUUGAUGUGGUUUCCAGGAAGGAUUACAGGUUAGCCUUUGUGAGAAGCACCGUUUUAUUAUAAAGU
Non-coding RNA from Peromyscus maniculatus bairdii (prairie deer mouse), 1740 nucleotides. The record is from RefSeq and is a predicted model, not a curated record. NCBI's taxonomy places the organism in Eukaryota, Metazoa, Chordata, Mammalia, Rodentia, Cricetidae.